AGGUACUGUGCAGAAGGAUUUGGUUACUGCUGAACCUUACUUUCAUACUAUAGAAGAGAAGAACAGUUGGAUCUGUAAGAUUUGUAGUAUGUUCCUGGCUGAUUUGGCUCAACUGUUAGAGUAUAGGCCUGUGGAUCAAAGGGUCUCAAGUUCAAUUAUCAGUCAAGGGCCCCCACCAAAAAAGGAAAAAUAUUUUCAGUUGGGACAGUUCUAGUUCACAUAUUGGUAUUCCUGUGUGUAAGAGAACUACAUGUCUGUGACAGCCUGAAAACCGCACGUACACUGGAGAACUAACUUGAAGCCUUCAUUUUUCUGACAAAAGGUAGUUUCAAUGUCUUAUGUUACAGAAGCAGGUAAAUAUUUAAUUCAGUGUAAUUGAGUACCUGUUAUGUGCAGGGUGUUUUAUACACUUUACUCCAAGUCUCGUGAUAACCUGAAGAGGUAUAAGUUUAACUUUUUGAGAAGCUGCCAAACUUUGCUGAGGUGGGUGAAUCAUUUCAAAUUUCUGCCAGCAGUGGAAAUGAACAUUUCUACAUCCUCACCAUUUGGUAUGAUCAGUCCUUUUAGUUUUAGGCAUUCUAAUAGUUGUGUAGUAGUAUCUCUUUACAGUUUUAUUUUAUAUUUCCCUAACAACUAAUGCUGCUGAACAUCUUUUUAUGUGCUUAUU
This is a long non-coding RNA of Molossus molossus (Pallas's mastiff bat), 667 nucleotides long. RefSeq lists it as uncharacterized. The transcript is spliced from 5 exons. NCBI's taxonomy places the organism in Eukaryota, Metazoa, Chordata, Mammalia, Chiroptera, Molossidae. The record is from RefSeq and is a predicted model, not a curated record.